ACGGGAGGCAGCAGUGGGGAGUAUUGGGCAAUGGGCGAAAGCCUGACCCAGCGACGCCGCGUGAAGGAAGAAGGCCUUCGGGUUGUAAACUUCAGUCAACAGGGAAGAAGAAAAUGACGGUACCUGUGGAGGAAGCCACGGCUAACUACGUGCCAGCAGCCGCGGUAAUACGUAGGUGGCGAGCGUUAUCCGGAUUUACUGGGUGUAAAGGGUGUGUAGGCGGGAUUGCAAGUCAGAUGUGAAAAUUAUGGGCUUAACUCAUAACCUGCAUUUGAAACUGUAAUUCUUGAGUGUCGGAGAGGUAAAUGGAAUUCCCAGUGUAGCGGUGAAAUGCGUAGAUAUUGGGAGGAACACCAGUGGCGAAGGCGGUUUACUGGACGACAACUGACGCUGAGACACGAAAGCGUGGGGAGCAAACAGGAUUAGAUACCCUGGUA
This is a ribosomal RNA of 437 nucleotides. It matches the Rfam family "Bacterial small subunit ribosomal RNA", at positions 341 to 792 of the family's 1533-position model.